Molecule: ribosomal RNA, 497 nt
Filed under: uncultured bacterium
Lineage: Bacteria
Description: partial 16S ribosomal RNA
Rfam family: Bacterial small subunit ribosomal RNA
Source: RNAcentral
GACGAACGCUGGCGGCGUGCCUAAUACAUGCAAGUUGAGCGCUGAAGGUUGGUACUUGUCCCGACUGGAUGAGCAGCGAACGGGUGAGUAACGCGUGGGGAAUCUGCCUUUGAGCGGGGGACAACAUUUGGAAACGAAUGCUAAUACCGCAUAAAAACUUUAAACACAAGUUUUAAGUUUGAAAGAUGCAAUUGCAUCACUCAAAGAUGAUCCCGCGUUGUAUUAGCUAGUUGGUGAGGUAAAGGCUCACCAAGACGAUGAUACAUAGCCGACCUGAGAGGGGGAUCGGCCACAUUGGGACUGAGACACGGCCCAAACUCCUACGGGAGGCAGCAGUAGGGAAUCUUCGGCAAUGGACGAAAGUCUGACCGAGCAACGCCGCGUGAGUGAAGAAGGGUUUCGGAUCGUAAAACUCUGUUGGUAGAGAAGAACGUUGGUGAGAGUGGAAAGCUCAUCAAGUGACGGUAACUACCCAGAAAGGGACGGCUAACUACGUG